This 5402-nucleotide unclassified non-coding RNA is filed under the name Orussus abietinus. RNAcentral's name for it is "uSP6 N-terminal-like protein, transcript variant X1". The record is from RNAcentral. Lineage: Eukaryota; Metazoa; Arthropoda; Insecta; Hymenoptera; Orussidae.
UGAAGUGUUCGUACUGUGUUGCAGUGUUCCGUGGUGAUACCGUUAAAUAAGAAUUUUUGUUGUAGCCUGACAGCGCUCAUUGGCGCUUAUUUGGAUAAAUUUCCGGGCUGCGGUUGGUUCAGCUCGGUACGCAAAAUUACCUCAACGGUGGAUUCACGAUAUAUUGUUGCUGGACGCCGUAUCUUAUUUAUUAUGAGGCAAAGAAGACGCGCGAACUGCGGCACGUUCAUUUACCCUGGUCAGCCCACAACUGCAAUACCAGAGUGACACCCCUCCGUUGGAGUGGCUUCAGGGAGCACUUGCUUCACGUGUAAGCUGUAACGAAAAUUUGUUAGCCACUUCAAAACAUGCGAAUUAAGUGAAGACGCACAGUCUCUCACAACUAAGGCCGGCAUGUUUGUGAAAAUUUGGCUUCGCAUUCUGACGUGGGAUGAAUGAGGAAGAAUUGUUGAAACGGUCAGCUGCAGAGCGGGAUAGGAUAUUCAGCUGCUAUGACCGCGGUAGAGAAAAUGGUGCUCAAAUUGACUCCUGGGAGGAUCCUGGAUACGAGGUUUAUCAUACCACAGAUAGAUAUGGCUUCAUACACGACAAGCGACUACCACAGAAAUUGGAUCCGAACGAAAGGAGGUUACAUCACGUGGAAAUGGAGAGAUUGAAGAAAUGGGAAAAGAUGAUGGAGAAUUGGAAUACUUAUGCCACUAAGGACAAGCUAAGACGUAGAAUAUACAAGGGCAUUCCUGACAGAUUUCGAGGCAAAGUGUGGGCUCUACUUUUGGGUAUUGAUAUCCUAAAGCAUGAGCAGGCUGGCAAGUACGAUGAAAUGUUACAAUUAGCGAGACAAUGGAGCACGGAGAUCAGACAAAUCGAUGCAGACGUUGCCAGGCAAUAUCGAGACCAUAUCAAUUAUAGGGAAAGAUAUAGCAUUAAACAACGUUCCAUGUUUUACGUUUUGGCCGCCUACAGUAUGUACAACAUGGAGGUCGGAUAUUGCCAGGGCAUGUCCGUAUUGGCUGGACUUCUCUUGUUGUAUAUGGACGAAGAAGAUGCGUUUUGGGGACUUUCCGUGCUUCUUUCGGAUAAGAAAUACAGCAUGCAUGGAUUCUACGUCGAUGGUUUUCCCAAACUGAAUCGAUUUAUCGAACAUCACGACAAGAUAAUGAACAAGUUCCUUCCCAAACUGAAACGAAAACUCGACAAAUGCGGAUGUGAUUCUAUACUUUAUGCCCUGAAGUGGUUCUUCGUUGUUUUUCAAGAAAGGACCCCAGUCAGCCUUGGACUUCGCAUUUGGGACGUAUUUCUCCUGGACGGAGAUCGCAUUCUGCCCGCAAUGGCGUACACAGUUAUGAAGAUGCAUAAACGAUAUUUAAUGCCCAUGGAAAGCCUCGAUGAGUUCUGCAAUUACUUGCAAAUUAAACUCGAGAAAGACUUUUGCUUUGACGAUGAUACCGUUAUUAGCUCCAUGGAGCGAAAUAUAGAGGAGCUCAAACGUGCCAAAUUAGAAUACCCUGGUCCACCGCUGCCGCACGAAUUGCCACGCUUUCCUUUCGGAACGUUUAAAGAGCCCUCAUUCACAAACAAGGUUGGUCGUCGUACCGAAGAGUUUAGCGAGGCGCAACACAUGAUGAGAGAGGCAGUGGCCCAGAGAAGAGAUAUGGCUGUCAUCGAAGAGACCAGAGGAAGCUCCACACCCGUAGAUCCGACGGGGUGUGGCGGUCUUGGGGGGAGCAAGUUUUCAUUCGAUCCGAGCCUAGAGGACGGGGUGUCUCCGAAUGGGUCAAGACGUUCCCUGGCCGACACGUCGGUGACCUCGACAGCGGACCUCUCCGUCUUCAGCUCAGCCGCCCGUUCCCAGGCCCUGGACAAUAGUUUGGACACCCAGAGCAACAUCUCUGACGGAAGUUCUGGCAGCGGUGGCCUUCCGACUCCAAGAGCCACUUCUCAUCAGCCUAGUCCGGAUAUUGUCAGGAUCUAUGUACCAUAUACCCCUCCUUCCCCGGCACUGGGUACAAACGAUGUCCCGCGACAUCUGCCCAGGACCCUAGAAACCAAUAAGAUUCGCAUCAGGGUAGACCCUGACCGUACUCCAGUGGUGGAAAACCUAAAACCCUUUACAUUAGAUAGCCCUGAACUCGAGCUCGACUUGAAAUAAUUCCGUAUGUUUAGCUAAAACGUCCACAAAUGGGACAUCUUAAGGGGCUAUACCACAAAAAUUACACAUUUUUUGCCAUUUUUUUUUCUCAAAAAGUAAUUAUGUCGCAAACUUGUUCUUUUUUCCAUGAAAGGUCGUAUGUAGGAGAAUACAGGAAAAGUUUUCUUUCUAGUAAAAAAUACAUAUUUACUUUUUUAUUAUUAGAAACGUAGAGUACUAAAAAAAAUUGUUUGUUGUUGGCGCGGGGGAUUGAAGUCUUGGUGAUUAGAAAUAAAAAAAUUCAAAAAGAUUCUUCAUCUGUAAGGCCGUCACUAUUGCCCGUACCUCAAUUAUAUCAUCAAUUAACAAAAUGGCGGCGUUUUUGGCAGAAGUGUUAAAAAAUACGUUUUUUGCGCUAUAAUUGAGGCAAAAGUAUGAGUUAAAAUUAAAAUUUUACCAUGACUGAGGUACCGGCGAAAGCAACGGCCUUACAGAUUCAGAAUCUUUUUGAAUUUAUUGUUUAACAUCACCAGGACUUCAAUCACUUGCGCCAGCAACAAACAAUUUUUUUUACUACUCUACGUUUGUAAAAAUAAAUAAAUAAAUAUGAAUUUUUUACUCAAAAUAAAAAUUUUCCUGUAUUCUCCUACAUUAGACCUUUAAUGGAAGAAAAGUUUGUUCCAUUCUUUGCAGUACUUUUUGAGAAAAAAAUUGUCAGAAAUAUGUAAUGUUUUCGACGUUCACAGUUGUAUAGCCCCUUAAGUCAAUUUGUAGCAGCCGAUUUCCGUUGCGUAUUGUAAUUUAGAUUUUAUUGCAGAAUCCUGAAUCACAAUGGGCAGGUUAGAUGCAAGUGCUGUCUUGCGCCAUCUACCGAGAAUAUUAGAAAUGAAUAUGAUUAAUAUUCGUGCGGAUCUUGGCCGUCUGUUCAAAGUGGAAUGUCCGUAAUUUAUGUCCUCUUUCAUUCCAAGUCCCACUUCUUGAAACAACGAUUUAUGCCAAUACGUUUAGUAAUAGGAAUUGAGUUUGACUCUUCUUUUUUUUCUUCAAAUAGGUCGUUUCGUGAAUGAUGCUUGCGUUCAAUUUGAAGCAGCUAAUUUUAAUAAGAUAAAAUUAUUUAAAUAUUUAUUUUCAAAUCCGAAAUGGUAUCUAAAUAUCCAGCACAGGUAAAGUAUCUCUUUUGUUUAAAUUUGAUUUUCUGGGACCUCGAUAACAGAUGGUUGUGAUAACAUAUGGAUAAAGGUCUGAUUACAGAUUUCGUGAGACGACCCCUUUCCCAAUAACUGACAGAAAUGAUUUGUGUCCUAUGUUCAGAAAAUCUAUGAUGGUGUGAGUCUUAUUACUGGUACACCAAUAACUUCUUGUCCAGGUUCUAUAAGAAUCUAGUUUCUUUAUUCCUAAGAUUUUGAAGGAUAUCACUCGAGCUAGACUCAAAGUUUUUCUCAUUAUUUUCUCAUUUUCUUAUAUAGACGUCUUAUGGUGUUGAAUAAAUAUUGUUGCAUUUGACAUAUGGAUAACCACUCCGCUAAUGUUAUCCUAUUAACAACUAUAAAUAUGACUAGGAAGCAUACUUUAAUUAAGCGAAUAGUGCUUUAUUGUUAACUCUAUUUAACAUCUAUAUUCAGACCUAUACAGCUUUCAUGUUGUAUUCCUGAAUACGUAUUAAGCACUUCGGGAAAUAAAAUAAUACUCAAGAUAAGUUGUCAACAAGACCUCAAUUGCAAUGUGUCUUUCUAAUGCUUUGGUUUGAUUACGUGAAACGUGAAUCCACCAACUGCAUACCUAUGUAAUUAAUAUCGUACCUUAUUAUAAGGAUUAGUGACCUGAGGUAUGCAUUAUGAGGGAAACUCCAUAUAGAUGGCUCAAAUGUUGGUAACUUUGGGACAUUUUUGUCGAACUCUUUAUUGAACACCAAUGAAACUUCAUGUUUAUAUUAAUGUAUAAUACAAAGAGCAAAUAUUAUUUUUUCAUGUAAUAAUCAUUAUUGUAUAUAGACGUAUAACAGUAUAUGCAAUAAUAACAUGUCAGAGGCGUCAAUUCGCUCUAAUCGGAUACAAUAAAAUAUGCAAAAACUUUGUUUUUCUUCAUUACACAGCGAGUCAUUCUUAGGGGCUUAGAAAAUAAUGUUACAAUUUUAGCAAAUAACAACUCUUCUAUUUUGCAAUAAAAUGUACAUAAUUCAAUAAUAUUGAUAAUGUCGUAGAUUCAUUAGAUGAAGAAUUUAAUGUUCUAUAGUUUUUCACCGGGAGAAUUUAACCGGUAUAAUAUUUUUUUCGUUGUUGUGUCCACCAAUUUGAAAAAUGUCAUUCAGCUAGAUGUCCAAAAUAACAGUUACUUUUAUUGUUUCGAUUACCGCGUUUAAUGAAAACCGCGUUUAAAGUAAUCGGGGAAAAAAGGUAUUUAUUUUGGAAGCUUGUAACCCUUUUCGCGCUAAUCUGGGAUUCCAGGGCUAUACAGCAAACCUUCUGACUCCUCGUGAAACUGUUGUUGUUCAGUUUAUUGUUGUUUGGGAAUAGUUCAAACCUCUGUCCCGCUUCUUUACCUGCGUUUUGUCAACGCGCAGCUGUAAAUUCAACUUUAGCUUCGUUUAGAUGUAGAGUAUCGCUCCAUAACUUUAGAAACAUAUUCUCUAUAUGAAUAAGUAUUGAUUUAGAUAAACAAAGAUAAAACCAUUUUUUUUUGUUUAACUAGUUCCAACUGGCCGGCGGAUUAGUAUAUGGAGUUCCCCCCUUAAUCUGCAGCUGGUGAAUUAACGAAGGGACCACUAACGAAUAAAAACACCAUAUGGCGUCUGUGGCAUAUCUGCAAUACCAACGCGACUAAUGCGAUACAAUUUUAUAGUAAUGAUUAAACCACAAAUAGGUAUUAUUCCCCUCAAACUUCUUUUGAGAAGUGCCACGCCGUUAAAGAUAUUGCUCGUACUCUCCUCAUUGGUAAUAAAGUCUUCAAUUGAAAGUACUCUUCAAACGAUCUGUUACAGUCCGAUAGAUGUUGCCCAGGAUUUAAAAUCAGUAACCGUUGAAACGGAAUUUGAAGGUCGAGAAAAGAAAGAAGUUACACGGACUGAAAUCAGACUAGUAUGAAAGCUGCGGAACUACGGAAAUACCUUUUUUGGUGAAAAUUUCAAUUACGAAAAUGGCAGGGUGAGAGGGAGCGUCAUAGUGAUGCAGUAUGGAGCUCACCCAGGGGGUCGACACUGCCAUGUAUUGGGGUGUAACGCUUUAUGCACUACCGCCAUCUUCGGUUGGAGUAAACCUUCUUUGCGAACUAAAAUAUU